RNAcentral lists this long non-coding RNA (731 nucleotides) under Rattus norvegicus (Norway rat). RNAcentral describes it as "long non-coding RNA NONRATT029239". The record is from RNAcentral. Lineage: Eukaryota; Metazoa; Chordata; Mammalia; Rodentia; Muridae.
GAGCUGUUUGUCAUAAGACAGAUUUCAACCCCUAUUUGCCUAUUGUUCAGUAAAGUCCCUAUACACCCAUACAGGUCAAUUGGUUCUAUUUGCUGAAUAGGACAUUCACAUGGCUACAGGCUUUCCAGAAGCUCAGUACUGGGCAAGCUGAUUUUGAGAUGCACGUGAUAGGCGUUGAUGAAUGUUGUUGGCAUAAACGUCUGGGGUAUAAAUAUAUGCAUGUGACAAAAGAAAACCUCUCUGAGACAUGAACAUGAAACCUGUGCAUUCAGGGCCGGGGGAUACUAGUUGCAAACAGAACAAUGAACUCAGAUGACUCUUGAAUCCCUAGGGCCUGAGGAAAAGCAGAUUCUCUUUGGGAACACUGUCCCAUCUCAGGGCACAGAAGACUCUAGAAACGAGACCCACAAAGAUGAACUCCUGAGGAAAAAAGAUUAAAAUCCACAAUUGAAUCCACCACAAAGUGCUGGUAGUUGAAACUCAAGCCACAUUAGGUGACUAAGACUGUUUUGCAGGGACUGGGGAGAUGGCUCCACGGUUAAAGGUGCUUGCUGCUCUUCCAGAAGGAACAAGUUCAGUUCUCAGCACCCAAGGGAAGCUCACAACCCCCUGUAGCUCCAGCAUCAUGGGGUCUCAAACCCUUUUCCUGCCUCAUCGGACAUCCUCACACGUGUUGCGUACACAUGCACGCACAUUACAUAUAAAUAAAAAACAUUAAAAACCUUUUUUGU